AUAGGGAUGUAGGUUUGCAUGUGUGUGUCUGUAUUAGUUUCCUUUUGCUGCUGGAACAAAUUACCACAAACUCAGUGGCUUAAAACAACACAAAGUUAUUAUCUUACGGUCCUGGAGGUCAGAAAUCCAAAAUGGUUUCACGGGGCUGAAAUCAAGGUGUUGGCAGGGCCCUGCUCCCUCCACAGGCUCUGAGGGAGAGUCUGAUUCCUUGCCUUUCCCGGCUUCUAGAGACCAAGUGCAUGGUCAGUUUCUACGUGUUCAAAGAGCGGUACCCCAUCUUCUGCUUCCGUCCUCACGUCUCCUCUUUGUGACUCUGACCUUCCUGCCUUUCUCUUAUAAGGGCCAUUGUGACUACAUUGAGCUCAUCUGAAUUAUCCAAGGUAACCUCCUCAUCUCAAGAGCCUUAGUUUAAUCAUGCCUGCCAAUUUCCUUCUGCCAUUUCAAGUAACAAAUUCGCAGGUUCUGGGGAUUAAGGCAUGAACAUCUUUGGGAGAAAAUUCACCAAGAUUCAGCUGAGCACACGACUACUCAGCUAAACACCACAUUUCCAGCCUCUUUUGCAGCUCAGUAUGGACCUGUGACUGAGUCUUGGCCAAUGAGAUAUAAACAGAAGUGAUGUGUUUAUCUUCUAGAUCAUUCCUUCAGGAACAGGAUGUGCCCACCAUCACCUCUUCUCCCCUUCCCACUGGCUGGAAGGUAAAAUUAUGGCAGGAGCUGAAGCAGCCAUUUUAGAGCAGGAGGUGGAAUCACAUGCAGCAAGAUGGAAGAAAUCUGGCUCUCCAACGAGACAGAAGAAGCCUGGAUUUCCAAAACCACAGAACCAACCUCCCAGCCCUGAACAAUCUACUUUGAUAUUUAUGUAAGAGAAGUACACUUUGUUAGAAACACCAUUAUUUUGGCCUUUAGUAUAGUAGCCAAAUCUGUAUUCCAACCCAUAUUGAUCCCAGCCAUCUUUUUUCCUGCUCCUAGUUACUUCUAUCCUGUUCUAAGCUCCAUUCCAUCUGGCUGGUCAACCUCUGACAUUUUACCACCAUGAUCCACUGUCAAAGUUUCCCCAGUCACUCUCCCUUACUGCAGCUUAUAUCACUCCCCCAUCUAACUCGCCUCCCCAUCCCAUUCUCAAUUCUCCACCACAGCCUGUUGCUAGACAAUCUGUGAUCUCCAACUCUGAAAAGAACCCAUAAAAAUAAAACAACAAAUGCUGACAAUGUUUCUUCAGCAACUAUCGUGUGCCAGGUUCUGUUCUAAUUACAUAGUAAGGUAAUGUCUAAACAAAUUACUUCUCAUUUUAACCUUUCAACAACCUUCGAGGUAAGUAGUUUUAUUCCCUCUAUCUUGGAGAUGAGGAGUCUGAAGCACAGAGAGAUGAGGGAAUGCCCUUACCACUUAUCUGACAGGGAUCUUGACUCUAGGAAUCCCAAACAGAGACAAGCAGGGACAGAGAAGUCCUCGAGGUCACUGUAGAAUAGGAGAGCCAGGCUAUUUAUGACUAGGGAGGUCCCAGGGGCAGCUGCUGGCUCUUCCUGAUGGCCCCAAACCCCACCUGCGGAGGGCAGCCUCUUCUUGUCCAGGUCACCCCAGGUGAGCAGCUUACAGUAAAAGAGCAGACCCCUGUUGGAGUCAGCUCCUCCUUGUUAUUCAGGCUGUCGAGCUUCAGAGGACAAGCUGACGGGAUUCCUUAGGCAGACUUUCCUAAACAUGUAAUUCCAUCUUUCCCCACUCCCACCUCUCCCUCUCAUCACCAUCUCCAUCGCUCCUGGCUAGACCUCAUUUAGUCAUCAGUCAUUCUUCCCAUGGACCAGUCUUUGACCAGCGUCCUUGAGUGGGUCUUACCUUGGCAGGGAAGCAGUCCUGCCGUUGAUUCACUAACCCUAUCUUGGGGUGGGCAUUCAGAGCCUACCUUGUACCAGUGCCACGGAUGGCUCUGGGUGGAACCCUAAUUGAGGUGUGAAGACAAGCUGAGUGGCUUUGAGGCCUCCUCCUGCACCUCUGGCCCUCAAGACACUGCUUAACUCCCGUCAGGGUUCGGUUGUCAUUUACACACUGCCCGCCCUGCACUGCGUGUUCCCCCUAGCUCCCAAACACACACAGUUCCAUGGUUCUUUUAAACGGCGUUCUAGCCACUGGCCCUCUCAGAAUCCUCCAAUUCCUACCCUCAGGCCCUCUCCAUUUUAUUUAACUCUUUUUCUUUGUCAAGCUUUGUUUUUAAUUAGAACCACAUUAUAGCAGAGAGCAGCUCACUAAGCCAGACCCCCAGCGGGCCCCAGGAGGAGGAACUGGGUCUCUCCCCACAGCUGUGUCUCUUCCUACCCCACAUACUGACCAGCUGAAAGACACUCAGUAUGGCCACAGAGAAACCAAACUGAAGUGAAAGAUGCCUCUUCAAAUGGAAACUUCUUCUCCCUCUCUCCUCCUUCUUUGUACACCUAAAAUGUCUCUCUGUUCCUUGCCCCCCACUUCCAGAGUCAGCAAGGAUGGUGUGUGCCCUCAGGUUAAUUGAGUUUUAAUUCCUCC
Equus caballus (horse) is the source of this 2514-nucleotide long non-coding RNA. Lineage: Eukaryota; Metazoa; Chordata; Mammalia; Perissodactyla; Equidae. The record is from Ensembl.